CAAAAUAAAAAAAAUAAAAAAAAUCAUAUUGAACCAAAAUUAAAACAGUAAAGAACAGAAAGAAUCAUAAGGGAUUUCAGUUCGUUUCGGUUCUUAGCUAAACUCAGAAUCAAACCAAAACCGAUCACCCCUGCCGAGAAAAAGAAGAAGGGGAAACGGGGACCCCGCGGGGGAGGGGGGGAGAUGAGCUUCGCAGCAGGCCCAUCAAAUUCCUACCAACCCCCGGCCAAUUCACCCUGCUAAACUCAUCUAAAUUCAUUUCAUGCGUUGAAUCGAGCCUUUGAUACCUUUUUUCUUUCACCCAUAAUGGCGAAAUCAAGGAAGAAAACCCUCCGCGUUUGCUCGGUCAAUUUUCGAAUGAGAUAGGGAAACCAAGAUUUAUAUAGGAAGUUUGCGGUCUUCGAUAUGCUCGGCCAGCUCUACCUCCGCUCGCGUGGUGUCUGCCGUAGAGGGCACCGCUCCCUAGCUAACCAUAGCCAGCUUCAACUGGCUGAUUCAUCUCUGAACAGUGACAAGGUCUCCAAUUUUUUAUGUUUUGGAUGUUUAAACUUUUAAUUUUCUAUAAGGUAAGUUGUUUGCGCCAAAAUUUGCUCUCUUAGAUGGUGAAUUUAAUUAUGAAGUUUAGAUUUUUGCAUGCCCAUAUGAAAUAGAAAUAAUGAAUUGAACCAUUUUGCACGAACAAAUUAGUCAUGGAAGUUAAAUAAUAUACUUGGUGAAUGGUUUCAAUUAGAGCAUAAUUGAGGGCAAUUGUAAGCUUGCAAAUGCUGAAUACUUUGAGAAUGUCAUGUUAUGAAAAUCUGCUAGAUUAUGGUGUGCUUAACUAUUUCUCUGUGAUCUAUGCUCCCUUAGACCGUUAUUAAUUUAUUCUAUUUCAUGGAUUUUUUUUAAUUAUUUUUUAAAUGCUCGUCCUUCUGAGUUUUGAAACAGUUUCAUGGCCCAUUGAGUUCAUUUAUAGAAACGCUGCACCAAAAAAACAUGUUGUGAUUAUCAAAUUAAGUGAAAAGUUCAGCCCUGAUAUGUGUAAGAAUUGAUUUAUUUAUUAGGUGGCAGUGGAUGCCAAUGAAUUCUCUUCUUGUAAGCAAUGUGGUGCUGUUAAGAAAAUUGGAGAAUGCACAUAAUAUUUUAAAAACAUUUAACUUGAUAGUGUCUUCGUAUAUAGUGAUUUAAUUUAUUUAAAUUAAUUGUUUGUGAAAUCUGUGUUUUGUAGCAGGUCCUUAUGUCCAAUUAGUCAAUUUUUCUAGGAUAACUAUAUCAGUUUAGUUCCAGGUCAUCCUUCCUUAUUAGUGGAUGAUGGGUCUGAUAUUAUUUAUCUACACCUUUUGCUGCGUGAACAAAAUAAACACCUAAUAUUUUUAUUGUUUUUUAUCCGAUAUGUUUAAAUUUAGAAUUUUUAUGCUGCAGGGAUGAGUCAGAGUUUAUUCAUGAGAUUGUUAAAGACAUAAUUAGCAAGUUGGGAAGGUUUAGUGGUGACAUAGCCAAGGGUCUCGUUGGAAUGGAGUUAAGAUUAGAGAAAAUGAGAUUGUAUCUGGAUAUUGGGCAAUCUGAUAAGGUUAAAUUUAUAGGUGUUUGGGGCAUGGGAGGAAUAGGUAAAACAACUAUUGCCAGUGUUGUAUACAAGCAAAUGUAUUCUCAAUUUGAAGGUAGUAGCUUUCUUGCAGAUGUUAGAGAAGCUUCUAAAAGACAUAAUGGUUUAGUUUCUUUGCAAAACAAACUUUUAUCUGCAAUCUUGAAUAGGGAUUUAGAAGUACACGAUGUUCACAGGGGAACAAACGAGAUAAGAACGAGGCUAUGUCAUAAAAAGGUUUU
Molecule: unclassified non-coding RNA, 1806 nt
Filed under: Hevea brasiliensis (rubber tree)
Lineage: Eukaryota; Viridiplantae; Streptophyta; Magnoliopsida; Malpighiales; Euphorbiaceae
Source: RNAcentral